RNAcentral lists this transfer RNA (86 nucleotides) under Euplotes vannus. RNAcentral's name for it is "transfer RNA-Tyr (GTA)". It matches the Rfam family "tRNA". Rfam says of the family: Transfer RNA (tRNA) molecules are approximately 80 nucleotides in length. Their secondary structure includes four short double-helical elements and three loops (D, anti-codon, and T loops). The record is from RNAcentral. Lineage: Eukaryota; Ciliophora; Spirotrichea; Euplotida; Euplotidae.
CCGAGCUUAGCUCAGUUGGCAGAGCAUCCGACUGUAGAGGUUUAGCAGAAAUCGGAGGGUCCCUGGUUCAAUUCCGGGAGCUCGGA